GCCCCGAUAGCUCAGAAGGAUAGAGCACAGGAUUCCUAAUCCUGGUGCCGCAGGUUCGAUUCCUGCUCGGGGCACCA
RNAcentral lists this transfer RNA (77 nucleotides) under Desulfurella acetivorans. RNAcentral's name for it is "tRNA-Arg". It matches the Rfam family "tRNA". Rfam says of the family: Transfer RNA (tRNA) molecules are approximately 80 nucleotides in length. The record is from RNAcentral. RNAcentral also lists the same sequence under 6 other names. Lineage: Bacteria; Pseudomonadati; Campylobacterota; Desulfurellia; Desulfurellales; Desulfurellaceae.